This 556-nucleotide long non-coding RNA is filed under the name Physcomitrium patens. Its description in RNAcentral is "long non-coding RNA (PPAT_LNC010796)". Lineage: Eukaryota; Viridiplantae; Streptophyta; Bryopsida; Funariales; Funariaceae. The record is from RNAcentral.
GUAAGCCCCACUCCUAAUCAGUGAGCUUUAACAAGCUGUAACAUCCAAUCCGAUUGUCCACUUGAUGUAGAAUUUUGCAUGAAAUUGUCAAUAUAAGUCUUCUAUAUGCUCAAGAAUUUUUGGCCCAAUCCAAUUUACAAAUUGUGAGAAAAUCUCCAAAAAUUGCAUUGAUGUUACUCGGCCGCCAACUUGAAAAGUGAAGUAGAAAUCCCAGCAAUGAUUUCUCCUUUUUCAACUAUUAACUUUGUUUCAAAAUUGGUGUGUAACUUGAUCUUCAAGUCCUUCGACAUGAUGCCAAUUUUUCACUAGAAUCCAAUUGAUAGAUCUUUAGAUAUUAUAGAAAUCCUACCCAACCUCAAACUGCCACCUUUUGAAAUGCUCUUGUGCUAAAAACUAGAUAUCUCUAAACUACGCCAUUAAAUUAUUACAAAAUUUUGUAUACACUUAGCACACCCAAUAAUCCAAAUAGUUUCAAGUUUUUAAUUGUAGAUGUCACACCAAUUGUCAAAACCAGCCAAAAUUAUUAGCCCUAAUUAUAUUAUAUAAAAUCCAAAUC